RNAcentral lists this unclassified non-coding RNA (430 nucleotides) under soil metagenome. Its description in RNAcentral is "partial contains 5.8S ribosomal RNA, internal transcribed spacer 2, and large subunit ribosomal RNA". The stretch from base 1 to 120 matches the Rfam family "5.8S ribosomal RNA", at positions 35 to 154 of the family's 154-position model. The record is from RNAcentral.
GAUGAAGAACGUAGCGAAAUGCGAUACGUAAUGUGAAUUGCAGAAUUCAGUGAAUCAUCGAAUCUUUGAACGCAUAUUGCGCUCUCUGGUAUUCCGGAGAGCAUGCUUGUUUGAGUAUCAGUAAACACCUCAACUCCCUUUUCUUUUUUGAAAUUGGAGCUGGACUUGAGUGAUCCCAACGCUUUCUUCCAAGAAAGUGGCGGGUUGCUUGAAAUGCAGGGGCAGCUGAACUUUUCUCUGAGCUAUAAGCAUAUCUAUUUAGUCUGCCUAAAAAACAGAUUAUUACCUUUGCUGCAGCUAACAUAAAGGAGACUAGUUCUUGUGCUGACUGAUGCAGGAUUCACAGAGACAGCUUCGGCUGACUUUGUAAACUCGAUCUCAAAUCAAGUAAGACUACCCGCUGAACUUAAGCAUAUCAAUAAGCGGAGGA